Molecule: ribosomal RNA, 492 nt
Filed under: uncultured bacterium
Lineage: Bacteria
Description: partial 16S ribosomal RNA
Rfam family: Bacterial small subunit ribosomal RNA
Source: RNAcentral
AGUGAACGCUGGCGGCAGGCCUAACACAUGCAAGUCGAACGGCAGCACAGUAAGAGCUUGCUCUUACGGGUGGCGACGGGCGGAUGAGUGAGGCAUAUAUCGCAUUCUACUUUUUCGUGGGUGAUAACGCAGGGGAACUUACGCUAAUACCGCAUACGACGAACGGGUGUAAUCUUGUGAUCUUCGGAUCUCGCUCGACUGUAUGAGCCGAUGUCGGAUUAGUUAGUUGGCGGGGUAAAGGCCCACCAAAGCGACGAUCCGUAGCUGGUCUGAGAGGAGGGUCAGGCACACUGGAACUGAGACACGAUCCAGACUCCUACGGGAGGCAGCAGAGGGGAAUAUAGGACAAGGGGCGGAAGCCUGAUCCAGACAUGCCGAGUGGGUGAAGGAGGCCUUCGGGUUGUAAAGCCCUUUUGUUGGGAAAGAAGAGCAGAAGGUUAAUACCGCGCUGUUUUGACGGUACCAAAAGAAUAAGCACCGGCUAACUUCGUG